UUUUACCAGUGGGGUGUUUUGUUUGUUUUAAGCCUUUAGGCGAGGUGAAUUUAUUCAAGGAAGUUCACAUGUCGGUUUUGUUCUUUUAGAGGGGAGUCUUUUUGACCACAAAGAAAAAAGUCUUCCAUAAAUGUCAUCUGACUAAAGGCAAUCUAUGGACUUUAGGAAGUCAGUUGAGGACACAGAUUAAUGAGCCAACACUGAGCCUCCUCCCUUCUGACCUCUCAGCACCUGCUCAACUAAGCUCAGGGAAAACUCUCGAGUCUUCUUUUUAAAUUGGGAUCGCUUGCCCCUUCUCUCUCAAACAAAUCAACUCCACCACCAAAUUACAGGCAAACAACGAGUAUCCAGGAGCAUAAACUAUUUCCCAACAAACAGCGCCAGGGCAGGGGGCAAAAGAGAGCGACCAAAUGGGGGAACCCUCAGGGGAGUUGCGCUCACCUGGAGCGAGACGCCAGCGUGGGAAAGCGGAACCCCUUUCCCGCCCGGCCCGGAGGACUCACGCUCAGGUGCAGCGCGGAGACUGCCGGGGAGAGAGAGGAGACCGCCUCGGCGCGGCCGCCCACUCCUCUUGCCCCAAAAGACCCCAGCACACAGGAGAGGUCCUCUCCGCGUAGGGCUCCCUCUCUCCCGGAGGCAGGGAGCAGAGCGAAGCCGCCACUCGUCUCUCCAGCCGCGCAGCCGGCCCGCAGCUACCUCACAGGUGUCUUCUGGGCUGAUUCCCUGAAAAACAACCAAAAUUUAAAGAAGAUCCCUCAUUGACAUUGACAUUUAGCUAUAUGCUCCGUGUGGCCACCUUGGUAAGAGUUUGCUUUUCUCUGAGUCUUGAGAAAAUUUUUAGGAUUAAUGGAAGACAGUAUUAUCCAGCACUAAAGUUCUUUUCCAAUUUAGUAUUUGAAAAAUACUUUAUGAUAAUGAAAAUCCUCUAUUUAAAGACACUGAUUUAUUAAACAUUGAAUUUAUGUCUAUUAAUUAAACAUUGAAUGCCUACAACACAUUUUAAAAAGCACUGAGUACCUGACAGAGGUGAGGGAGAAUGCCAAGAUAAAUAUAGUAAUUUCUCUUCUUAAAGAUACUGUACUCUGAUGGAGAAGGCAUACCCAGAGAGAACACAGCCUCCUACAGUGGAGUUGAGGUUGGUGCAGGACCAAGGGAGAAUCAUACUAAGCAGAGGUAUGAGGAAGUUCACCUUCAGGGUUCUAAAUUAAAAUGUUUCUUUAGUGGUAUACCCUUUUUUUUUUUUUAACUUUUUUUUUGAAACAGAGUCUUGUUCUGUCAUCCAGGCUAGUGUGUACUGGUGCAAUCAUGGCUCACUGUAGCCUCAACUUCCCGAGCUCCAGUGAUGCUCUCACUUCAACCUCCCAAGUAGCUGGGAUCACAGACACUUGCCACCACACUUGGUUAAUUUUUGCAUUUUUGGUAGAGGCAGGGUUUCACCAUGUUAGCCAGGAUGGUCUCGAACUCCUAAGCCCAAGCAAUCCACCUGCCUCGGCCUCCCAAAGUGCUAGGAUUAUAGGUGUGAGCCACCAUGCCCGGCCAUGGUAUGUUUAAAUUUUGCCUCAGCAUCAUGGUUCAAGUUUGUUCUAAUGAAGUGUCAGAUCAGAAAAUAAAGAAGCAAAGUCUAUGAAUCAAGGCCACCCAUAAUUUUGCAUUCUCAGGAAGUUGGCCAGAAUACCCCUAUUUCAGCUGUAUAUGAUUGAGCAUGUUACUGUUGAUGAGGAAUUUUUAGUUAUUUGUUUUUGGUUAAACAGUUCGUCAUGUUUUUCUGACAUGUUGUGGAGACUUGAAAUGAGUUUACUUUGGGCCUGGGACAAAUUCUGACAAUAACCUUGGAGAAUGAGCUCAAUGGUGAGACUUCGAAGACAGGGUGAGUUGGAUAUUACUGAUGUGUUCAGAUUAAGGUAGCUUGAUCUAGAAAUUCAAACUGCAAUUGUUCAAGACUAGCUGAACAAGAACACAGACUGCAAGAACACAGAGUAACCAGUUGUGACCAUUUCACAUUGGGACUGUGAUUGGGGAUCAAUUAACACAAAAUUGAUCACUGCCCACUGUGCUGACUGCUCACUCUGCCUGAACUGUACUAUGCCCUUCCUUAUGAAGUGCUGUGAAGGUGACCUUCCAGACCUUCUCCUAGGAAAAACACCAAUUCCUACAGCGGGUGCCUGACAUCCUCAGUUGAUCUGUCUUCUGGGAAGUUGUCCAAAAAUUUCUUUGAAAAUUUCCCAUGCUUCCCAUUUAAAGAAAGGAUAUAUGCUGUCAUCUGGGUCACAUAUGGGAAUCCACUAUAGAGCAGCCAGGCAGUUACUGACUCUUGUCCUUUUCCUAUCUGUAAAAAGGAAAUGACUUCCAAGAAAAUAUUUGUCAUAAACCCAGGCUGAAAGUCCACAAUUAAAGCAGAACUGGUGCUCCUCUGCUGCUGCGAGGUGGUCUAAAAAAAGCCCUGAUGAGUUCUGCUAGUGACUGAGAUAUUUGCUGGGAUCCCUGGGAGGAUUCAAUCUGUGUUCCCUGAUCUCUGUUGAAAUCUGGGCAAGAGGUUUCCUGGUGCUGUGAAAGCAGCUGACUUCUGAAGUUCCUCAUACUGAAUUCUUCCAUUUCUUGGGUUUGGAGUAACUCAGAUCUAACACCAGCUAGAUCUUGAUUUCUCCCUUUUUUUUCUCAGCAGCUGUAGAGUUUUCCUUUUCUGUUCUCAGCCUAAUAAAAAGCCAUCUGUUAAUUAUAA
Non-coding RNA from Callithrix jacchus (white-tufted-ear marmoset), 2719 nucleotides. NCBI's taxonomy places the organism in Eukaryota, Metazoa, Chordata, Mammalia, Primates, Cebidae. The record is from RefSeq and is a predicted model, not a curated record.